UUGGCCUUGACAUACUAAGAACUUUCAGAGAUGGAUUGGUGCCUUCGGGAACUUAGAUACAGGUGCUGCAUGGCUGUCGUCAGCUCGUGUCGUGAGAUGUUGGGUUAAGUCCGCAACGAGCGCAACCCUUUUCCUAUUUGCCAGCGGGUAAUGCCGGGAACUUUAAGGAUACUGCCAGUGACAAACUGGAGGAAGGCGGGGACGACGUCAAGUCAUCAUGGCCCUUACGGCCAGGGCUACACACGUGCUACAAUGGUCGGUACAAAGGGUUGCUACCUCGCGAGAGGAUGCUAAUCUCAAAAAGCCGAUCGUAGUCCGGAUCGCAGUCUGCAACUCGACUGCGUGAAGUCGGAAUCGCUAGUAAUCGCGGAUCAGAAUGCCGCGGUGAAUACGUUCCCGGGCCUUGUACACACCGCCCGUCACACCAUGGGAGUUUGUUGCACCAGAAGUAGGUAGUCUAACCGCAAGGAGGACGCUUACCACGGUGUGGCCGAUGACUGGGGUGAAGUCGUAACAAGGUAGGCGUAGAUGA
This 532-nucleotide ribosomal RNA is filed under the name uncultured bacterium. RNAcentral's name for it is "bacterial SSU rRNA". It matches the Rfam family "Bacterial small subunit ribosomal RNA", at positions 975 to 1509 of the family's 1533-position model. The record is from RNAcentral.